This is a long non-coding RNA of Papaver somniferum (opium poppy), 977 nucleotides long. RefSeq lists it as uncharacterized. Lineage: Eukaryota; Viridiplantae; Streptophyta; Magnoliopsida; Ranunculales; Papaveraceae. The transcript is spliced from 2 exons. The record is from RefSeq and is a predicted model, not a curated record.
CAACGAAAAAAUUUCACCGACGCCCAAAUUUUUUAAAAUUAUGUUUCGUAUAUCUUUUGGUUCCUUUAAUAUCCUUUCGUAUACACCCUUCCAUAUUUACAUCUCGAUUCCAGUUGAAAAACCUAUUUUCAACAUUAGUAGUUUGCGUUCUUGGAGAUUUCUGUGAAAUCGAUGGGGAGAAUCGAUGAAGAUCAUCAUCAACAGUUAAAUCAGCAGAUUAAAUUAUCAGAAACGAACGCGUAGAUAAGUUUCUUCUAGCGUUAUCAAGUUUUUGUUUUUCUGAUAAAUGAUUUUACGAUUUCGAAAAAUUUAAAAUUUUGAUUACAACUCAAUUUCUUGAUCAGAGCAAAGAUCUAAUCUCGAUCUCUCUUUUGAGAAAAAAAAGUUCCAAAAAGUUUAGCAUUUUUUUAGGGUUCUUGACUGAAAUUUUGAUUUAUCUUCCAAUUUAUUAUCUUUAUCAAAAAUCUAUCUUCAUAUUGGAAUUCAGGGCACCUAAAUCUCUGUUACUCAUGGAAUCAUUUUGAAUUUGGUGAAUUUUUAAUUUUCGAGGUUUUAUGGAAUUUUUAAGGAUUUAAUUUGAUUGAUUAAGUAAGUGGUUUUGUGUUUAAGGUGAAGAGAAAUGCAAUGACAAAGGUGAGAUGGAUAGAUCAUUACCAACUAAGUAUGAAGAUGUAUCUUUAAUGCUAUUACUGACGAUGUUUGACUUGUUUAAAGAUUGUGAUGGUGGCUGGUAGUGACAUUCUAGUUGACGAUGAAAAAGUAAUUGUACAUUUUUGUAAUUGCAAGACUUUUUUUUUUUUUUUUGUAGUAUAAGGAUUUUUGGAAGUUCAUUUUUCUUGUUUUUUAGUGUUUGGUGUUUAUAUUGCGCAUUUUCUGUAAUGGUUGCAUAAUCUGUUAUGUAGUCACUAAAAUGGUUGCAUAACCUAUUAUGCACUAGAGAAAAUGGUUGCAAAAGACAUUAUGGAACCUUUUAUUUU